RNAcentral lists this transfer RNA (57 nucleotides) under Fukomys damarensis (Damara mole-rat). It matches the Rfam family "tRNA", at positions 8 to 63 of the family's 71-position model. Rfam says of the family: Transfer RNA (tRNA) molecules are approximately 80 nucleotides in length. Their secondary structure includes four short double-helical elements and three loops (D, anti-codon, and T loops). Lineage: Eukaryota; Metazoa; Chordata; Mammalia; Rodentia; Bathyergidae. The record is from Rfam by way of RNAcentral.
UAGCUCAGUGGUAGAGUAUGUGCCUAGCAUGCAUGAGACCCUGGGUUUCAUCCCCAG